RNAcentral lists this ribosomal RNA (487 nucleotides) under uncultured bacterium. RNAcentral describes it as "bacterial SSU rRNA". It matches the Rfam family "Bacterial small subunit ribosomal RNA", at positions 28 to 507 of the family's 1533-position model. The record is from RNAcentral.
GAUGAACGCUAGCUACAGGCUUAACACAUGCAAGUCGAGGGGCAGCACAGUGUAGCAAUACAUGGGUGGCGACCGGCGCACGGGUGCGUAACGCGUAUCCAACCUUCCCGUUACUCAGGGAUAGCCUUCCGAAAGGGAGAUUAAUACCUGAUGGUGUUUGAAUUCCGCAUGUUAUUCAAACUAAAGAUUUAUCGGUAACGGAUGGGGAUGCGUGACAUUAGAUAGUAGGCGGGGUAACGGCCCACCUAGUCUACGAUGUCUAGGGGUUCUGAGAGGAAGGUCCCCCCACACUGGAACUGAGACACGGUCCAGACUCCUACGGGAGGCAGCAGUGAGGAAUACUGGUCAAUGGUCGGAAGACUGAACCAGCCAAGUAGCGUGAAGGAUGAAGGUUCUAUGGAUUGUAAACUUCUUUUAUACGGGAAUAAAACCACCUACGUGUAGGUGCUUGUAUGUACCGUAUGAAUAAGCAUCGGCUAACUCCGUG